This 284-nucleotide long non-coding RNA is filed under the name Capsicum annuum. RNAcentral's name for it is "long non-coding RNA (CANN_LNC015558)". Lineage: Eukaryota; Viridiplantae; Streptophyta; Magnoliopsida; Solanales; Solanaceae. The record is from RNAcentral.
GAAAAAAACCUCUACUUCCUGACUCUUAACUGACUCAUUUAGCUUGACAAGGCUAGGAUCCCUGUCUUGCUUCUCUUUCACCUCCGAAACUAGGGAUGAAUCUAAACUACUCUGAACACAUACACCACCCUCUGAAGAGUUGACUAAGCGAACACCUAGUCUAGCAAGCUGAUGAAUCUCCUGAGCUAAUUUCUUCUUACUAUCCUCAACAUGGGAAACACUACCCAUGGAUAGUCUACUGAGUGCGUCGGCCACUACAUUGGCCUUGCCAUAUGAUAAAGGAC